GAUGAACGCUGGCGGCGUGCCUAAUACAUGCAAGUCGAGCGAACAGACGAGGAGCUUGCUCCUCUGACGUUAGCGGCGGACGGGUGAGUAACACGUGGAUAACCUACCUAUAAGACUGGGAUAACUUCGGGAAACCGGAGCUAAUACCGGAUAAUAUAUUGAACCGCAUGGUUCAAUAGUGAAAGACGGUUUUGCUGUCACUUAUAGAUGGAUCCGCGCCGCAUUAGCUAGUUGGUAAGGUAACGGCUUACCAAGGCAACGAUGCGUAGCCGACCUGAGAGGGUGAUCGGCAACACUGGAACUGAGACACGGUCCAGACUCCUACGGGAGGCAGCAGUAGGGAAUCUUCCGCAAUGGGCGAAAGCCUGACGGAGCAACGCCGCGUGAGUGAUGAAGGUCUUCGGAUCGUAAAACUCUGUUAUUAGGGAAGAACAAAUGUGUAAGUAACUAUGCACGUCUUGACGGUACCUAAUCAGAAAGCCACGGCUAGCUACGUG
Molecule: ribosomal RNA, 497 nt
Filed under: uncultured bacterium
Lineage: Bacteria
Description: partial 16S ribosomal RNA
Rfam family: Bacterial small subunit ribosomal RNA
Source: RNAcentral